UUCUUCGGGGCAGGGUGCUGCCAGAUGUUUUGGCAAAUUCCCGACCGACGGUGAUUCUGAUGUUUUCAGAAAAGUCCGUGAACUGCGAUAGCAGCCGAUCCGGUGAGAUUCCGGAACCGACAGUAUAGUCUGGAUGAGAGAAGGA
Molecule: non-coding RNA, 145 nt
Filed under: uncultured Agathobacter sp.
Lineage: Bacteria; Bacillati; Bacillota; Clostridia; Lachnospirales; Lachnospiraceae
Description: FMN riboswitch (RFN element)
Rfam family: FMN riboswitch aptamer (RFN element)
About the family: The RFN element is a highly conserved domain that is found frequently in the 5'-untranslated regions of prokaryotic mRNAs that encode for flavin mononucleotide (FMN) biosynthesis and transport proteins. This element is a metabolite-dependent riboswitch that directly binds FMN in the absence of proteins. In Bacillus subtilis, the riboswitch most likely controls gene expression by causing premature transcription termination within the 5' untranslated region of the ribDEAHT operon and precluding access to the ribosome-binding site of ypaA mRNA.
Source: RNAcentral